CAAUAGCGUAUAUUUAAGUUGCUGCAGUUAAAAAGCUCGUAGUUGGAUUUCGGGUGGGAAUGGCCGGUCCGCCGUUUCGGUGUGCACUUGCUACGCCCACCUUGCUGCCGGGGACGUGCUCUUGAGUUCACGCUCGGGACACGGAGUCGGCGAGGUUACUUUGAGUACAUUAGAGUGUUCAAAGCAGGCCUACGCUCUGAAUACAUUAGCAUGGAAUAACACGAUAGGACUCUGGCCUAUCUUGUUGGUCUGUAGGACCGGAGUAAUGAUUAAGAGGGACAGUCGGGGGCAUUCGUAUUUCAUUGUCAGAGGUGAAAUUCUUGGAUUUAUGAAAGACGAACUACUGCGAAAGCAUUUGCCAAGGAUGUUUUCAUUAA
Molecule: ribosomal RNA, 377 nt
Filed under: uncultured eukaryote
Lineage: Eukaryota
Description: partial 18S ribosomal RNA
Rfam family: Eukaryotic small subunit ribosomal RNA
Source: RNAcentral